RNAcentral lists this ribosomal RNA (440 nucleotides) under uncultured bacterium. RNAcentral describes it as "partial 16S ribosomal RNA". It matches the Rfam family "Bacterial small subunit ribosomal RNA", at positions 338 to 795 of the family's 1533-position model. The record is from RNAcentral.
CCUACGGGAGGCAGCAGUAGGGAAUAUUGCUCAAUGGGGGAAACCCUGAAGCAGCAACGCCGCGUGGAGGAUGAAGGUUUUCGGAUUGUAAACCCCUUUUGUCAGAGAAGAAAAUGACGGUAGCUAACGAACAAGCAACGGCUAACGCCGUGCCAGCAGCCGCGGUAAUACGGCGGGUGCAAGCGUUAAUCGGAAUGACUGGGCGUAAAGAGCGCGUAGGCGGGAUAGCAAGUCAGAUGUGAAAUCCUCUGGCUUAACCAUAGAACUGCAUUUGAAACUGGUAGUCUAGAGUGUGGGAGAGGUAGGUGGAAUUCGUGGUGUAGGGGUGAAAUCCGUAGAGAUCAAGAGGAAUACUCAUUGCGAAGGCGACCUGCUGGAACAUAACUGACGCUGAGGCGCGAAAGCGUGGGGAGCAAACAGGAUUAGAUACCCCUGUAGUC